Salvia miltiorrhiza (redroot sage) is the source of this 1005-nucleotide long non-coding RNA. RefSeq lists it as uncharacterized. The record is from RefSeq and is a predicted model, not a curated record. Lineage: Eukaryota; Viridiplantae; Streptophyta; Magnoliopsida; Lamiales; Lamiaceae. The transcript is spliced from 4 exons.
AAUUUAUUAUCCAGUUUAAUAACUGACUUAGCAAAGUCAAGUUAUUAAUUUAUAUGCGAUAGAAAUAUUAUUUCUAUUAUUUACUAGAAGUCGAGGAAUUAUUCCGACUGCAACGCAGAUUAAAUCUACGGAUUUAAUUUAAGUUAUAUUACAGUUUAUCAAGUUAGCAGGCAAGGAAAAAGAUAUCAAGCAAGAUACAGAAAUGCGAUGAUUGAAAAUCGAAGCCAGUAUUUAUUUACAGUUCACAGAUUACAGGCUAGUUCCCAUCUUGGGGAAAAUCGUUUAGUAUAUUACAAAAGCAAAAGCUCUUCAAUCAAUUAAAGUUUAAAUACAAUUUUUUAUUUCCAUCUUUUGUUAAUGAUGUACACGUAUUUACUCCACCAACACCACUCCAACCUUUUGCUUUCCUCCCUCAGCCAACCACCACCACUAUCUCCAAUAUCUCCAAACCUUUAAUUAUCAACUCCACCACCACUUGCUCCCCACCCAACAAAUGCAAUAUUCACUCUCAUUUCAUUUUCAUCCACCAGUUCAGAGGAUCAAUUCCAGUUCGUUUCAGCCGAAGCUCUCAAGUUUCUAUCCACUGAUUCAAACACCACAGCAGCCAACAUCAAUUUACAGCAACUCACUCCUGGAGAAAUCAACUUAUUUUCAUAAGAGGUCAAGCGCGAGAGUAAGAACUACACAAGGAGUUAGAGUACCUUAGCAAAACUUUGCUAUCAGGUUGAGUUGUGAUGGGCGAUGAAGUGUUGCUGAGUGGAGUUUUUGUCGAACUUAAAGUAGGCUCAGAAAGGAUACAUGUCUUCAUACAUGUAUCUCAGUUAUGCAUUCCGCUGUAAACACUUAUUAUUUCAGUUACACCUACCGUUGCAAACUCUGAUAAUGUUUUAGCCAAGCCCCUAACGAUGCCUUUUUCCUUUUAAGGAAUAUAACGCGUAUACAAGUUCUUUGAGUACCCUUUUUAUGCGACCUAUGCCUUUUUUUUUUUUAAGGGAUAUUUCACGC